ACGCUGGCGGCAGGCCUAACACAUGCAAGCCGAGCGGUAGAGAGAAGCUUGCUUCUCUUGAGAGCGGCGGACGGGUGAGUAAUGCCUAGGAAUCUGCCUGGUAGUGGGGGAUAACGUUCGGAAACGGACGCUAAUACCGCAUACGUCCUACGGGAGAAAGCAGGGGACCUUCGGGCCUUGCGCUAUCAGAUGAGCCUAGGUCGGAUUAGCUAGUUGGUGGGGUAAUGGCUCACCAAGGCGACGAUCCGUAACUGGUCUGAGAGGAUGAUCAGUCACACUGGAACUGAGACACGGUCCAGACUCCUACGGGAGGCAGCAGUGGGGAAUAUUGGACAAUGGGCGAAAGCCUGAUCCAGCCAUGCCGCGUGUGUGAAGAAGGUCUUCGGAUUGUAAAGCACUUUAAGCUGGGAGGAAGGGUUGUAGAUUAAUACUCUGCAAUUUUGACGUUACCGACAGAAUAAGCACCGGCUAACUCUGUGCCAGCAGCCGCGGUAAUACAGAGGGUGCAAGCGUUAAUCGGAAUUACUGGGCGUAAAGCGCGCGUAGGUGGUUAGUUAAGUUGGAUGUGAAAUCCCCGGGCUCAACCUGGGAACUGCAUUCAAAACUGACUGACUAGAGUAUGGUAGAGGGUGGUGGAAUUUCCUGUGUAGCGGUGAAAUGCGUAGAUAUAGGAAGGAACACCAGUGGCGAAGGCGACCACCUGGACUGAUACUGACACUGAGGUGCGAAAGCGUGGGGAGCAAAC
Molecule: ribosomal RNA, 745 nt
Filed under: uncultured bacterium
Lineage: Bacteria
Description: bacterial SSU rRNA
Rfam family: Bacterial small subunit ribosomal RNA
Source: RNAcentral